GGGCGAGUGGUGAAAUUGGUAGACACGCAAGGUUGAGGGCCUUGUGAACGUUAUUUGUUCGUGGAGGUUCAAGUCCUCUCUCGCCCACCA
RNAcentral lists this transfer RNA (90 nucleotides) under Candidatus Peregrinibacteria bacterium. RNAcentral's name for it is "tRNA-Leu". It matches the Rfam family "tRNA". From Rfam's summary of the family: Transfer RNA (tRNA) molecules are approximately 80 nucleotides in length. The record is from RNAcentral. Lineage: Bacteria; Candidatus Peregrinibacteriota.